GUACAGAACAGCUAGGAAUAAGGGUUUAUACACCAAUUUUAGGGAAAGGAUAGAAAGGGCUUCUGUGAGAAAACAAAUGAACUUUUCAGGGAAACAGAGGGGCUUUUAGGCGGAUACAUGGAAGACAGGAUAGUUUGCAGUAAGGUUUGUUUAUGCAAUUUCUCAUCCAAGCUCAAGUGCAGGGUCUUUUCCCUGGCAGUGUAGCUCACUUGCCUGCCCAGUUAG
RNAcentral lists this long non-coding RNA (225 nucleotides) under Bos taurus (domestic cattle). RNAcentral describes it as "long non-coding RNA NONBTAT022084". The record is from RNAcentral. Lineage: Eukaryota; Metazoa; Chordata; Mammalia; Artiodactyla; Bovidae.